Pelobates cultripes (western spadefoot toad) is the source of this 108-nucleotide non-coding RNA. Lineage: Eukaryota; Metazoa; Chordata; Amphibia; Anura; Pelobatidae. The record is from the annotation of a GenBank genome assembly.
GUGCCCGCUUUGGCAGCAUAUAUACUAAAAUUUAAACGAUACAGAGAAGAUUAGCAUUGCCCCUACGAAAGGAUGACACUCAAAAUUCAUGAAGCGUUCCACGGAUUC